CAGGCCAGCCGGGUGACCGCGGCCCCGCACGGCGGGGUCGAGGAAAGUCCCCACUCCACAGAGCACGGUGCCGGGUAACCCCCGGGGCAGGGCAACCUGCCGGAUCGGGCCACAGAAACAGACCGCCUCAGGAUGCUGGAACGACAGGGUGCUGGAGCAUUCCUCCAAAUCCGUUGUUCUCAGAAUUCGGGCAAGGGUGAAAAGGCGGGGAGAGUGUCAAUCACUUUCCCGGGCAGCGGUGUUCACGUUGCCUGUGUAAGAGACCACCGGCGUCGGCAGCAAUGCCGGCGGCCAGGCAACCCCCACCUGGAGCAAGGCCAAGCAGAGGCGAAGCCUCUUCCACUGGAAGGGGCGGGAGGCUGCUCGUCUCCCCGGCCCUCCCCAGCGAGGGCCCCAGCCCCGGGUCGGCCGCUAGAGCCGCGCCGAGAGGCGCGGCCCAGAUAGAUGGUCACCCAGGCGGAGUCGCUCUCCGCCGGACAGAAUGGGGCUUAUAGGCCGGCCUGGGAU
Molecule: RNase P RNA, 507 nt
Filed under: Chloroflexota bacterium
Lineage: Bacteria; Bacillati; Chloroflexota
Description: Chloroflexi bacterium (sediment metagenome) RNase P RNA component class A
Rfam family: Bacterial RNase P class A
About the family: Ribonuclease P (RNase P) is a ubiquitous endoribonuclease, found in archaea, bacteria and eukarya as well as chloroplasts and mitochondria. Its best characterised activity is the generation of mature 5'-ends of tRNAs by cleaving the 5'-leader elements of precursor-tRNAs. Cellular RNase Ps are ribonucleoproteins.
Source: RNAcentral